AAUUCGUAUUGUAGGCAUUGGCUAAGUAAACCAUUGUAUCAUUUUCAAGCCUCUGAAUAGCAUUCUGAGUCCAAUUGUUAGAAAGUAGUAAUAUCAUCCCUUAGAUU
Molecule: small nucleolar RNA, 107 nt
Filed under: Olea europaea subsp. europaea
Lineage: Eukaryota; Viridiplantae; Streptophyta; Magnoliopsida; Lamiales; Oleaceae
Description: Plant small nucleolar RNA R71
Rfam family: Plant small nucleolar RNA R71
About the family: R71 is a member of the C/D box family of snoRNAs containing the C (UGAUGA) and D (CUGA) box motifs. Multiple nearly identical copies of this snoRNA have been identified in Arabidopsis, and it is thought to function as a 2'-O-ribose methylation guide for 18S ribosomal RNA.
Source: Rfam by way of RNAcentral